AAACAUUAGGAAUUGGACCUGGCUGGACCUUUUCCGUUGAAUGAGGAAUUCAUUCUUACAGCCAAUAGUCCAAGAGAGUGCCGUGAUAUUGGCAUGGUGCUUACUGGUGAUGUCCCCACUGGUUUGCAUGCUUAUUCUUGGGCGAAAAAACGGCUCUGUUGGCUUCUAUGAUUCUCUGAGCAGUUGUAUGCCUACGUCCGUGGCUGCGUUGAAGAGAAUCGACAGGUGGUCUUCGUGAUCGCUAGAAUCAAUGAGUACCAGAUAGGUGCCGCCAACAAAAACCCCAUUUUUGAACUUUUUUACAAGAAAACAUUUCUAGUCUUAUCGGUGGAUCACUCGGUUCAUAGAUCGAUGAAGAACGCAGCCAACUGCGAUAUAUGGUGUGAACUGCAGAUAUUUUGAACACCAAGAAUUCGAAUGCACAUUGCGCCACUGGAUAUCUAUCCUUUGGCACAUCUGGCUCAGGGUCGUAAAUACCAAACGAAAGCAAAUUCGUUGAUUAUGACAGAUUCAUGGCAAAACUAGCGGGUGCUUUUCCGCUGGUGUCAUGUUUUUGUGAAGGGACUUGCCUACCGGAUGAUUUUGGCUGUUGAUAUACGUCUUUGCUAAUCUAGACGGAAUCGACUGGCUAUUUCGCUCUGGACGAUAGUUGG
RNAcentral lists this ribosomal RNA (653 nucleotides) under Ditylenchus gigas. Its description in RNAcentral is "eukaryotic LSU rRNA". The stretch from base 317 to 470 matches the Rfam family "5.8S ribosomal RNA". The record is from RNAcentral. Lineage: Eukaryota; Metazoa; Nematoda; Chromadorea; Rhabditida; Anguinidae.